Molecule: ribosomal RNA, 776 nt
Filed under: uncultured Neocallimastigales
Lineage: Eukaryota; Fungi; Neocallimastigomycota; Neocallimastigomycetes; Neocallimastigales
Description: partial large subunit ribosomal RNA
Rfam family: Eukaryotic large subunit ribosomal RNA
Source: RNAcentral
GGUACACGCUGUGACUAGCAUAUCAAUAAGCGGAGGAAAAGAAACUAACAAGGAUUCCCCUAGUAACGGCGAGUGAAGCGGGAAGAGCUCAAAUUUGAAAUCUUAAAGGGUUUCCCUUUACGAAUUGUAGUUUAAAGAAGUGUUUUCUGUUGAGGUUUUGGUAAAAGUUCUUUGGAAUAGGACAUCAUAGAGGGUGAGAAUCCCGUAUAUGACCUUUACUUUCAACUUUGUGAUACACUUUCAAAGAGUCGGAUUGUUUGGGAAUGCAGUCCAAAAUGGGUGGUAAAUUUCAUCUAAAGCUAAAUAUUGGCGAGAGACCGAUAGCGAACAAGUACCGUGAGGGAAAGAUGAAAAGAACUUUGAAAAGAGAGUUAAACAGUACGUGAAAUUGUCAAAAGGGAAGCGUUUGACACCAGUGUUGUUUUUCUGAAAAUCAAUUAAAGAACUGUUUAUGCUAAGUUGUUUAGACUUUAUCAGGCUAACUGUUUAGUUUUGAGCUUUUCUUUAAUGCACUUUUCAGUUAACAAGUCAACAUCAAUUUCUUUUGCUGUAAAAAAGCUUGAGGAAGGUGGCUUGAGAUUCGUCUUAAGUGUUUAUAGCCUCUUGCCUAUGCAGUCGGAGAGAUUGAGGUCUGCAGCGUAGAUCCUUCGGGGCUAAAUGCAUUUGUGCUAAGUUAUAGCAUUUUAUAGACAACUUGUUGACUAUGAUUUGUCUUGUAGCUUACUCGCUUAUGUUAUUUUACCUACGCUUAGGAUGUUGACGCGCGUGUGUGCGUG